GGUAUUUAACUUGUUUAGAGUGCAGAUUCAAAGAUCAGAGUUUAUCUGGAGAUCAGAGUUUGACGACUGCCAGCUGGACCAGAGUUUAUAUGAAGGUCAGAGUUUGCAGGCGGCUGAUUUCUAGGAGAGGAUCUGGAUAAACAAGAAAGGAGAAUAUUAAGGAAGAUAUGCAAAUCAGAACAAGAAAAGGAUAGCUACUGAUUAGAUUAUUUUAGGAAGCAGAUAAUUGUAAAUCAAUCAGUAGAUAUCAUGAAACUGUGUAUAUAAUCACAGCUUAGGGUUUACUCUAGAUGAGUUAUGAAUUGAAUAUCAUUCGUGUAACCUAG
Molecule: long non-coding RNA, 326 nt
Filed under: Daucus carota (carrot)
Lineage: Eukaryota; Viridiplantae; Streptophyta; Magnoliopsida; Apiales; Apiaceae
Description: long non-coding RNA (DCAR_LNC007416)
Source: RNAcentral